RNAcentral lists this small RNA (806 nucleotides) under Pongo abelii (Sumatran orangutan). Its description in RNAcentral is "retained intron". The record is from RNAcentral. Lineage: Eukaryota; Metazoa; Chordata; Mammalia; Primates; Hominidae.
CGGGACAGCUCGCGGCCUCCGAGACUCUAGCCGUCGAGGAGGUGCCUGGGGACGUUUGCCCUGGGGCCCCAGCCUGGCCCGGGUCACCCUGGCAUGAGGAGAUGGGCCUGCUGCUCCUGGUCCCGUUGCUCCUGCUGCCCGGCUCCUACGGACUGCCCUUCUACAACGGCUUCUACUACUCCAGCAGCACCAACGACCAGAACGCAGGCAACGGUCAUGGCAAAGACCUCCUCAAUGGAGUGAAGCUGGUGGUGGAGACACCCGAGGAGACCCUGUUCACCUACCAAGGGGCCAGUGUGAUCCUGCCCUGCCACUACCGCUACGAGCCGGCCCUGGUCUCCCCGAGACGCGUGCGCAUCAAAUGGUGGAAGCUGUCGGAGAACGGGGCCCCAGAGAAGGACGUGCUGGUGGCCAUCGGGCUGAGGCACCGCUCCUUUGGGGACUACCAAGGCCGCGUGCACCUGCGGCAGGACAAGGAGCAUGACGUCUCGCUGGAGAUCCAGGAUCUGCGGCUGGAGGACUAUGGGCGUUACCGCUGUGAGGUCAUUGAUGGGCUAGAGGAUGAAAGCGGUCUGGUGGAGCUGGAGCUGCGGGGUGAGACCCUGACGGGGACUGGGUGACACUGGGACCUGAGAGCAGAGGGGAGAGGACCAGAGAAAACAUCCAGACCUCUGUGCUUUAGACAUUUAAAAGUACUAAAUUCUCAAAACAACCCACAGGGAAGCUACUGUUAUGACCCUCAUUUUACAGGUGAGGAAACUGAGGCACAGAGAGGUCAAGUAACUUACCUAAGGUCACACAGCUUG